GUUAUCGUUUAUUUGAUAGUACCUUACCACUUGGAUAACCGUGGUAAUUCUAGAGCUAAUACAUGCUAAAAACCCCGACUUCGGAAGGGGUGUGUUUAUUAGAUAAAAAACCAAUGCCCUUCGGGGCUCUUUGGUGAUUCAUGAUAACCUAACGGAUCGCAUGGCCUUGCGCCGGCGACGGUUCAUUCAAAUUUCUGCCCUAUCAACUUUCGAUGGUAAGGUAUUGGCUUACCAUGGUUUCAACGGGUAACGGGGAAUUAGGGUUCGAUUCCGGAGAGGGAGCCUGAGAAACGGCUACCACAUCCAAGGAAGGCAGCAGGCGCGCAAAUUACCCAAUCCCGACACGGGGAGGUAGUGACAAUAAAUACUGAUACAGGGCUCUUUUGGGUCUUGUAAUUGGAAUGAGUACAAUUUAAACCCCUUAACGAGGAACAAUUGGAGGGCAAGUCUGGUGCCAGCAGCCGCGGUAAUUCCAGCUCCAAUAGCGUAUAUUAAAGUUGUUGCAGUUAAAAAGCUCGUAGUUGAAACUUGGGUCUGGCUAGCGGGUCCGCCUCACCGCGUGCACUUGUCCGGCUGGACCUUUCCUUCUGGAGAACCUCAUGCCCUUCACUGGGUGUGUUGGGGAACCAGGACUUUUACUUUGAAAAAAUUAGAGUGUUCAAAGCAGGCCUUUGCUCGAAUACGUUAGCAUGGAAUAAUAGAAUAGGACGUGCGGUCCUAUUUUGUUGGUUUCUAGGAUCGCCGUAAUGAUUAAUAGGGAUAGUCGGGGGCAUCAGUAUUCAAUUGUCAGAGGUGAAAUUCUUGGAUUUAUUGAAGACUAACUACUGCGAAAGCAUUUGCCAAGGAUGUUUUCAUUAAUCAGUGAACGAAAGUUAGGGGAUCGAAGACGAUCAGAUACCGUCGUAGUCUUAACCGUAAACUAUGCCGACUAGGGAUCGGGCG
RNAcentral lists this ribosomal RNA (942 nucleotides) under Xenostigmina zilleri. RNAcentral describes it as "SSU rRNA". It matches the Rfam family "Eukaryotic small subunit ribosomal RNA", at positions 109 to 1059 of the family's 1831-position model. Lineage: Eukaryota; Fungi; Ascomycota; Dothideomycetes; Mycosphaerellales; Mycosphaerellaceae. The record is from RNAcentral.